Phyllostomus discolor (pale spear-nosed bat) is the source of this 4969-nucleotide long non-coding RNA. RefSeq lists it as uncharacterized. Lineage: Eukaryota; Metazoa; Chordata; Mammalia; Chiroptera; Phyllostomidae. The transcript has 3 exons. The record is from RefSeq and is a predicted model, not a curated record.
AAAUCCUGAUGCAACCAGCCAACCAGAGAUGAUUUUUCCCUCCUUUGGGAGAGACUGGGUUUUGGGGUCAGUCAGUCCUGAAUUUGAAUCUGUACCCUACCCCCUACUGGCUACAUGACCUGAAAAAAUGUUUUUAAUUUAGCUGAACAUUUGUUUUUCUUGUCUGUAAAUACUUCAUACGGUUCUUACAGGGUGAGAAGUAUUAAUUUAAUAUUGAAUUCUUCCCUUCACUUCUGACACUCAGCAUCACUUAACCUCACGUUGUAAUCAUUGGCAUACUUAUCCCUCACCUCCUACUGAUCUGAGCUCAGAGAGUGGCUUCCUCAUCUGAACUAUCCCCAACCAGUGCUCAGUAAGCAUCAAUUUGAUUCACUUGAAAUUACAAAGGAAACACCUCAUUGUUGAUCCUUAGCUGAAGUAUUCUGAUUUUGUGAUAAAACCACAGAAAUUUUCUAUUCUGUAGUUUGUUCCCUUUGUUACAUGGUCUAUUUUUAUUAGUUCACUUAUGCUUUCUCCCACGUUUCAGUGUUGGAGAGAUGAAUACAGUGACUCCAUUUUUCCUCUGAUAGGGAACUAAGCCAUAUGUUUGUACUGAGUCAGCUACUCCAGACUGUGGAUUCUCAAUCAGAUGGUCAGCAGCGUUUAAUUGAAUUCCCAAUAUGCGCAAGGCUACACUGGGUGUUGUCACUCCAGGGAGGUGUAACCAUCUGGAGGAACUUUUUUAAAGAAUUCAGAAUAGGAGAAUAUGUCUCGUUGUAUCUAAAUUAAAAUGAUACUAAUUUUGGCCAAGUAAAUAGCUGGCAUAAGUGCUGUCCUCCCCCUUCUCUCUUAUAUAUUUUUUUCUUCCAGCCUCCAAGAAAAGGCAUUCUUCUUUUUUUGCUGUGGCUAAGAUGAUGUACCUUUUCCUUGAUUUCUUUCCUUCCUAAUUAUUGGUAAUUUGUGUAAUACGAGAUUCUGAUACUUAAAGUGUUCCUCAAGGUUGUCUUUUAGCCUUUGGAUCCUUUUCUAACUUUAGGUAUGUGUGUGUGAAAGGCAGAAUCCUAAGAUGCCCCCAAAGGUUUCCUCCCAUAAUCCCUAGGACUGUGCACAUACUGGAUGUUAUGCCCUUGGUUAUGUUAGGUUACAUAACAGAAGGGAUUUUGAUAUAUAAUUAAGGUUACUCAUCAGCUGGCCUUAAGAUUGGAAGAUUGUCUAGAUAGGCCUGACAUAGUCACAGGAGUUGUCUCCAGCUGGCACUUGAUGGCGAAGCCAGAGAAUCAAAACAUGAGAAGGAACCAUUGCGUUGUUGCUGGUUUGAGCGUGGAGGGGAGUGUGAGCAGGACCUGGAGAGCAGCCUGGAGGAGCUGACAGCAACCUCCAGCGAACAGCCAACAUGGGAAUGGGACCUCAGUUCUGUAGCUGCAGGAAACCGGAUUCUGCCAGCAACCCCAAUUAGCAAGGAAGUGGAUUCUUCCCUAGCGCCUCCUGAUGAGAGCCCAGCCUGGUGGACACCUGGCUUUUGUCUUUGUGAGACUCUAAGCAGAGAACCUGGCUAAGCCCAGGAGGACUUCUGGCCUACAGAAUGGAGACAACAAGUUUGUGAGUUUGUAACAGAAGCUAUCAGGUAAGGAGAGGCAUUGCUAUGCCUGUGUUGGAAGGGCUGUAGUUUUCUGCAUGGAACUGACUCCUGCCAGACGGGGCCCUACAACAUUGAUCUCUUUACCUGUCUGUGAUUACCACUCACCUAACCCACCUGCAUAGAUAGACCCACAUGGUUCACGUGGCUUUAUUCUUUUAUGUAACUCCAGGGUAUUGACUUUAAGUGUUGAGUCUCAAAUAAUUAAAGGAUAAUUAUAUUUUGAUGUCUGUUUAAAAAAUCUCCAAGCCUAUAAUAUUUCAUGUUUGAUAAGGCCUAUUCACUUUUAGCUGAAUGUAAGUGGUUUAGCUAUUUGGGGCACCAACCAAAGUGGGCACCGGAGCAGUCGUUACCCGUUGCCGAUCCCUGUACCCCUGCAUCUCAGCUGCCGCGGUAUCUGUUAUCACCAGAGGUCAGGAGGUCCAGUGGCAAUGUUUUUUGCUUUUAUGUGGGUUGUGGCACUUUUGCUCUCUGUAUUAUAUCUGUGUCAUUAGCACUUUUUCAGGGCAUUUAAACAAUUUUUAAUGAGGUAUAGCAUAUAGUGAAGUCCAUAAAUCUUGUAUGCAGCUCAGUGAACCCAGAUCAAGAAAGAGAACAUUUCUAACAUCAAACAAAACAAAACAAAACAAAACAAAACUGCUUUAUGCCCUUUCCCAGUCACUGGGGAACCCUAGGGUGGUAACUACUGUUGUGACUUCUAUCUUCAUAGUAGUUGGACUUAGAUUGUUCUCGAAGUUCAUGAAAAUGGAGUGGAAUCACUGUGGGUCAGUUAGCUGCAGCCAGAUGCUGGCUGUGGCCAUGGGCAUCUGAAGGCUCAGCUGGGCUGGUUGACCCAGGAGGCUCACUCGCAUGGCUGUCCGCAGAUGCUGACAGGUGCGGGUGCUCAGCUAAGCUGCUGAUGGGAGUGCCUGCAUGUCGUCUCUCUAACGUGACACUGUUAGGGCACUCUAAUUUCCUCCGUGGCCCCAGAAUGAGCAUCUCAAGGGACACUGAAGCUGUUGGGCCUUUUCUGACUUGGCCUGAAAUCAUACACUGUCACCUCCGCUUCAUUCUUGUGAUUACAAGCGACUUGAUAGUGAAGCCGACUCAGAUUCGAGGCUAGGGCACACAGAUUCUCCCUCUCGGUGGGAGGGGUGUAAAACCAUUUGCAGAUGUGUUUCAAAACCCCCACCGUUACAACAAUAGCCAUUUAUUGAAUGAGUGUAAUGUGUCAGGUAUUUUGAUAAGCACUUCACAUGAAUUCCCUGAUUUAUUCCUCACCACACACAACUUUAUGAUUUUUUAAAAACUAUUUUAUAACCAUUUUGUAGAUAAGGAAGUAAAACUGGGAGAGGUUAAGUCACUUGCCCAGUUACACAACUAAUAUGUGAUGGAGCCUGGACUCACACUGAGUUCUCUGACCUCAGAGUCCACAGGCUCAACCAUGGCUAAACUGACAACUUAUUUUAAGGAGAACAGAAUUGUGUUUCAGAGAACUCAUUGCCGGAAGCAGGGAGACUAAUUAGGAAGCUAUUACUACUGUCAGGUGCUUGUUUUAUCUAUUUUUACACAAGAUAACAGAAGGAGUGAAAAAGCAGGAGAGGGAAGGGGUAUGUAUUAUUAAAUAUUUGCAGAAAAAAAUAAAACAUUUUUAGGUCAGAUAGAUUUUCUGUGGCUCUGAUGAUUUUCAACAACUGUUUGUUUUUGGUUAAAAUUACUGACCAUAUUCCCUCUUUAUGUACCAUGAUGUUUUAGCUUGUUCACUCCGGAGUCACACAGAUGCCCAGGUCUGUGGCAUAGCUAGUUUGUGCUUUUGGCCAUUUAAAGGCCGAAUAAAAAUUAUUCAGGUUCUUCUCUUCUUUACCAAAGGCACAUUUUGCAGCUACUUACUAGACUUGAGGAAGAUUUGAGGUGUGGGAUGCUAUGAGAGUCCCUGGUGCUUGCUCUUCAUAGAUGAGGUUUUGCUGGAACACAGCCUCACCCAUGAAUGUACACAUUCUCUAAGGCUGCCUUAAUGCCAGGAUGCUGGCUAGUGCGCGCAGAGACUGCGUGGUCCUCAAAGCCCACCAUGUUUCCUGUGUGGCACUUCACAGGAAAAGCCUGUACACCUGUCCUACGUAAUGGGAGACCUGUUCAGGUCACUCUGUUGAAUGUGUGAGAUGCCGACUGCAGGUCAGGGCACAGUCGUGAGACUGGGCAUGUGUGUUAUUGUUAUGUCUUAGCAGGGAUCAUUGAUUAAGUCGAUUAUCAGCACAUAUCACAGGUCCAAAACAAACAGGUUCAGAGGCCUCUUAAAGGGAUUCCAGCAAAUAUGGUAGAACAGCCAUUUUGGGAUGAGGCCAGUUUCUCUACUUCUUUUGUGCUGUGGGCUGGAUGUUCACGAGUGUGGGUCACCAGGUUAUCACUGAUAACGGCAACUAGCAGGUGAGAGGCCCGUCUGUGACUCUUGCCCCUCCCUGAGGCAAGAAUAGAUAUCUGUAGGUUAUUCUUCACUGCCUCUGCCUGUUUGUUUGUUUGUGUGUUUGUUUGUUUGUUUUGGGGAAAGCCUUAGAAAUAUUUCUAUUUUGUUUUGUUUUCGGCCUCUGUAUGCUGGUUUUUAACAUUGUUACAUUUAGUGCCUCAUCGCAUGUGGGAAGUGUGUUGGCUUGCAUUACUGUGCGUUUCAUUUACUCUCGAGCCCUAUUUAGGACAUUGUUGUUUCAGCCACAGGACUGACCCAGAUGUGCACAUGCAGGGCGUUCGGAGAGAUGCCUCGAGGUGCUGUGGGAGCGUAGAGCAAGUUAUGCUUUGCACGCUCACCUCGGGUCAUGUCCUCAAGUUUUAUUUAGAGAAAAUGUGCAAUGCUUUCCAAUUAUUUUGCUUUUGUUUCCUGCAAUUCUGGAACUGCGAUUGUGCAUUUACUAGUGUUAUAAGGAUGAUUUUCUCAGACAACCGUGAAUAUUGUCAAUGAAAAUACUUCUUAACUAUUAAUUUGCAAAAAAGCCUUUUUUACUGUGUGUAAUUAAAAGAAAUUAAAAUAACUCUUAGAGGUGCAAUAAAAGUUAAUUUUAUUAGCUGCCCAUUUGAUUAACUUUUCCUAUGCAUAGAAAGAAUUACAUGAAAUAAUGUAGUGAGUCUCCUUUUACAAAGAAAACUACAUUACUCUAAGUGUGUGUUUUGUCACAUAAUUUGUGUUUUGCAAGUAACCGACUUUAUUCUUUUAAAACAGGAGCAUUCCGUAAGUGCAGUGACAGUUGAAUUCUUUUUCUCCAUCUCCCUGUUGAAGAAUAAAAGUAACUUGGGGGUGGUGAACCCACACUACCGUGCACAGAUGAUGUGUUGUGGAACUGUGCACCUGAAACGUGUAAUUUUGUUCACCAGUGUCUCUCCAAUAAA